UACGGAGGAUGCAAGCGUUAUCCGGAUUUAUUGGGUUUAAAGGGUGCGCAGGUUGUUUGAUAAGUCAGUGGUGAAAGUCUGUCGCUUAACGGUAGGAUUGCCAUUGAUACUGUUAGACUUGAAUAUGGAUGAGGUAGGCGGAAUGUGUAGUGUAGCAGUGAAAUGCAUAGAUAUUACACAGAACACCGAUUGCGAAGGCAGCUUACUAAUCCAUCAUUGACGCUGAGGCACGAAAGCGUGGGGAUCAAA
This 249-nucleotide ribosomal RNA is filed under the name uncultured prokaryote. RNAcentral describes it as "partial 16S ribosomal RNA". It matches the Rfam family "Bacterial small subunit ribosomal RNA", at positions 524 to 772 of the family's 1533-position model. The record is from RNAcentral.